CAUCACCGACUCGCUUUUCCCGCCAUACCGAUACCUACACAGACACGCUCGCAUUGUGCUAACAACGACUUCAACGCCAUAUAUUCAUUCACUCACUCACCGUUACUCUUAAUCACUAUAUCAUUCAUCUGAUCAGGGUUUGUUGGUGACCCCUUAAAUAGGAACAUGUUUGUUUCUCUUUUCUAUUCUCUGAGACGUGUUGCCGAUGAAGUAAAGAAGUGGCGUCCGUCCUGCUGGAGCUGAGCGUGGAUAUACUUUUCUCAAGUACAAUCUCAUCAUAACAUGUCAUCUUACUAAUCUAUUGGCAUGUUGUGCACAGUAGCCAAGAUCAAGAAUGGAGAAAGCAUAACUUUUGUAAUGGUUAAUCGUGACUUUACUUUUCUCAAGUACAACUUCACAGUAGCAUAUCACUGAACUAAUCUGUUUGCACGUUAUAGUAGGUCAGGUAUUUUACAGAGUUGGUGUUGAUAUACCUGAAGAAAAAUAGCCCUAGAGGCUCCAAGUAUUCAUGACAUUUUCAUUUGUAAUAUUACAUUCCUCCUACAAAUAAGAGAUAGCAGAAGCAUUGCUUGUACAAAUGUUCCUUUGCUAUUAAUUUUGAAACCCAAUAAAAAA
Long non-coding RNA from Helianthus annuus (common sunflower), 615 nucleotides. RefSeq lists it as uncharacterized. The transcript is spliced from 3 exons. The record is from RefSeq and is a predicted model, not a curated record. NCBI's taxonomy places the organism in Eukaryota, Viridiplantae, Streptophyta, Magnoliopsida, Asterales, Asteraceae.